UACGAAGGGUGCAAGCGUUACUCGGAAUUACUGGGCGUAAAGCGUGCGUAGGUGGUUUGUUAAGUCUGAUGUGAAAGCCCUGGGCUCAACCUGGGAAUUGCAUUGGAUACUGGCAGGCUAGAGUGCGGUAGAGGGUAGUGGAAUUCCCGGUGUAGCAGUGAAAUGCGUAGAGAUCGGGAGGAACACCAGUGGCGAAGGCGAACUACCUGGACCAGCACUGACACUGAGGCCACGGAAAAGCGUGGGGGAGCCAAACAGGG
This 260-nucleotide ribosomal RNA is filed under the name uncultured bacterium. Its description in RNAcentral is "partial 16S ribosomal RNA". It matches the Rfam family "Bacterial small subunit ribosomal RNA", at positions 524 to 777 of the family's 1533-position model. The record is from RNAcentral.